RNAcentral lists this ribosomal RNA (253 nucleotides) under uncultured bacterium. RNAcentral describes it as "partial 16S ribosomal RNA". It matches the Rfam family "Bacterial small subunit ribosomal RNA", at positions 524 to 776 of the family's 1533-position model. The record is from RNAcentral.
UACGAAGGGGGCUAGCGUUGCUCGGAAUCACUGGGCGUAAAGCGCACGUAGGCGGCUCUUUAAGUCAGGGGUGAAAUCCUGGAGCUCAACUCCAGAACUGCCUUUGAUACUGGGGAUCUCGAGUCCGGAAGAGGUGAGUGGAACUCCGAGUGUAGAGGUGAAAUUCGUAGAUAUUCGGAAGAACACCAGUGGCGAAGGCGGCUCACUGGUCCGGUACUGACGCUGAAGUGCGAAAGCGUGGGGAGCAAACAGG